Molecule: small RNA, 886 nt
Filed under: Pongo abelii (Sumatran orangutan)
Lineage: Eukaryota; Metazoa; Chordata; Mammalia; Primates; Hominidae
Description: retained intron
Source: RNAcentral
UGGCAAAAGGAGCAGAGUGCUCAGGCCCAGCGACUGAAAGACAAGGUGGCCCAGAUGAAGGACACCCUAGGCCAGGCCCAGCAGCGGGUGGUGAGUGAGGCCCCUUGGCAACAGGAAACGGGAAAUUCCAAGGGCAAGUUGUAGAAAAGCCUGAGUGUCUAAAGAGAAGGGGAGAGACAUGGCUAAAGACUAAACAACACAACCCCGAGUCCUAACGCAGUGGAGUGGAGGGAGCCUGGUUACCUCCCCGGCUGACAAAUGAUUCACUGGGAACUCUGAUCUCCAUCUUCUCCUUUCUCCUGAGGCUGAGCUGGAGCCCUUGAAGGAGCAGCUUCGAGGGGCCCAGGAGCUUGCCACCUCAAGCCAGCAGAAAGCCACCCUUCUUGGGGAGGAGUUGGCCAGCGCAGCAGCAGCCAGGGACCGCACCAUAGCCGAACUACACCGCAGCCGCCUGGAAGUGGCUGAAGUUAACGGCAGGCUGGCUGAGCUCGGUUUGCACUUGAAGGAAGAAAAAUGCCAAUGGAGCAAGGAGCGGGCAGGGCUGCUGCAGAGUGUGGAGGCAGAGAAGGACAAGAUCCUGAAGCUGAGUGCAGAGAUACUUCGAUUGGAGAAGGCAGUUCAGGAGGAGAGGACUCAAAACCACGUGUUCAAGACUGAGCUGGCCCGGGAGAAGGAUUCUAGCCUGGUACAGUUGUCAGAAAGUAAGCGGGAGCUGACAGAGCUGAGAUCAGCCCUGCGUGUGCUCCAGAAGGAAAAGGAGCAGUUACAGGAGGAGAAGCAGGAAUUGCUAGAGUACAUGAGAAAGCUAGAGGCCCGCCUGGAGAAGGUGGCAGAUGAGAAGUGGAACGAGGAUGCCACCACAGAGGAUGAGGAGGCCACUGCGGGG